UUAGUUAGUUGGUAAGGUAAAAGCUUACCAAGACGAUGAUGUGUAGCUGGACUGAGAGGUCGAACAGCCACAUUGGGACUGAGACACGGCCCAAACUCCUACGGGAGGCAGCAGUAAGGAAUUUUUGGCAAUGGAGGAAACUCUGACCGAGCGACGUCGCGUGAACAAUGAAGUACUUCGGUAUGUAAAGUUCUUUUAUUGAAAAAGAAAAAAUAGUGGAAAAACUAUCUUGACAUUAUUCAAUGAAUAAGCCCCGGCUAAUUAUGUGCCAGCAGCCGCGGUAAUACAUAAGGGGCGAGCGUUAUCCGGAAUUAUUGGGCGUAAAGGGUGCGUAGGCGGUUUGAUAAGUCUAUAGUUUAAAUGCAGUGCUUAACGCUGUAGCGCUAUAGAAACUGUCUGACUAGAGUUAGAUAGAGGCAAGCGGAAUUCCAUGUGUAGCGGUAAAAUGCGUAAAUAUAUGGAGGAACACCAGAGGCGUAGGCGGCUUGCUGGGUCUUAACUGACGCUGAGGCACGAAAGCGUGGGGAGCAAACAGGAUUAGAUACCCUGGUAGUCCACGCCGUAAACGAUGAGUACUAAGUGUCGGGUUUCGGCUCGGUACUGAAGUUAACACAUUAAGUACUCCGCCUGAGUAGUACGUACGCAAGUAUGAAACUUAAAGGAAUUGACGGGACCCCGCACAAGCGGUGGAUCAUGUUGUUUAAUUCGAAGAUACACGAAAAACCUUACCAGGUCUUGACAUAAUUUUGCGACAUUAUAGAAAUAUAAUGAAGGUUAUCAGAAUUACAGGUGGUGCAUGGUUGUCGUCAGCUCGUGUCGUGAGAUGUUAGGUUAAGUCCUAAAACGAGCGCAACCCUUGUCGUUAGUUGCGACCACGUAAUGGUGAGCACUUUAGCGAGACUGCCAAUGAAAAAUUGGAGGAAGGUGAGGAUUACGUCAAAUCAUCAUGCCCCUUAUGAUCUGGGCUACAAACGUGAUACAAUGGCUGUUACAAAGAGUAGCUACAACGUGAGUUUUUAGCCAAUCUCAAAAAAACAGUCUCAUUUCGGAUUGAAGUCUGCAACUCGACUUCAUGAAGUUGGAAUCGCUAGUAAUCGCGAAUCA
This 1104-nucleotide ribosomal RNA is filed under the name Candidatus Phytoplasma phoenicium. Its description in RNAcentral is "bacterial SSU rRNA". It matches the Rfam family "Bacterial small subunit ribosomal RNA", at positions 241 to 1351 of the family's 1533-position model. The record is from RNAcentral. Lineage: Bacteria; Bacillati; Mycoplasmatota; Mollicutes; Acholeplasmatales; Acholeplasmataceae.